GGUAUUGAAAUAAGAUUUUAAAUGAGUGCUAAGAGAAUGAUUAAACAAUUAAAAACUUUCUUUAAUUAAAUAAUUAAAUUUAAUUUUUUUGGUGCAAAAGCAAAAAUAAAAUUUAGGGACAAGAAGACCCUAUGAAUUUUUAUUAUUAAUAUUUUGCAAUUAAAUUAUUAAUAAUUUAAUUGGGGUGAUAAAAAAAGAAUAAGUAUCUUUUUAAUUGUAAAAUAAGUUCCGUUUUUAGCGAUUAAAUGAAAAAAAUACUCUAGGGAUAACAGCGUAAUAAUUUUGGAUAGUUCAUAUAGAUAAAAUAGUUUGCGACCUCGAUGUUGGAUUAGGAUUCUUUUUUGGUGAAGAA
RNAcentral lists this ribosomal RNA (352 nucleotides) under Ixodes scapularis (black-legged tick). RNAcentral describes it as "partial 16S ribosomal RNA". The record is from RNAcentral. Lineage: Eukaryota; Metazoa; Arthropoda; Arachnida; Ixodida; Ixodidae.